UACGGGAGGCAGCAGUGGGGAAUAUUGCACAAUGGGCGCAAGCCUGAUGCAGCCAUGCCGCGUGUAUGAAGAAGGCCUUCGGGUUGUAAAGUACUUUCAGUCGUGAGGAAGGUGUUAAGGUUAAUAACCUUAGCAAUUGACGUUAGCGACAGAAGAAGCACCGGCUAACUCCGUGCCAGCAGCCGCGGUAAUACGGAGGGUGCGAGCGUUAAUCGGAAUUACUGGGCGUAAAGGGCACGCAGGCGGUUAAUUAAGUUGGAUGUGAAAUCCCCGGGCUUAACCUGGGAAUGGCAUUCAAGACUGGUUAGCUAGAGUCUUGUAGAGGGGGUAGAAUUCCAUGUGUAGCGGUGAAAUGCGUAGAGAUGUGGAGGAAUACCGGUGGCGAAGGCGGCCCCUGGCAAAGACUGACGCUCAUGUGCGAAAGCGUGGGGAGCAAAC
This 438-nucleotide ribosomal RNA is filed under the name uncultured bacterium. RNAcentral's name for it is "bacterial SSU rRNA". It matches the Rfam family "Bacterial small subunit ribosomal RNA", at positions 340 to 773 of the family's 1533-position model. The record is from RNAcentral.